GAAAAAGGCAUACUGGUUGGGAAUGAUAUGAGCCUCCCUGAUAUAUUUGCUCAGUUCUACAUCAAAAAGUUUCGGACACCUGCAGGCCCGAGUCUCAAUCUGGGUGUCCAUUACUAAUCGAUUUAGAGGAGAAAGUGCAACGUGAAAUAAUAGCCCAUCCAUGAGGAAGAACAACAAGGGAAUUAUCCCAUCGCAAGGCUGAACAUUUCAUAACAGAUUCUAUUGGAACCUGCGCCCAGAGGAUGUCUCGCACUCGGCCCCCUCUACG
Triplophysa rosa is the source of this 268-nucleotide long non-coding RNA. RefSeq lists it as uncharacterized. The transcript has 4 exons. Lineage: Eukaryota; Metazoa; Chordata; Actinopteri; Cypriniformes; Nemacheilidae. The record is from RefSeq and is a predicted model, not a curated record.